ACCGCGAUAGCUCAGCUGGUAGAGCAUCUGCCCGGUGUGCGGGGGUUCGCCAGUUCGAUUCCGGCUCGCGGCG
Molecule: transfer RNA, 73 nt
Filed under: Fasciola hepatica (liver fluke)
Lineage: Eukaryota; Metazoa; Platyhelminthes; Trematoda; Plagiorchiida; Fasciolidae
Rfam family: tRNA
About the family: Transfer RNA (tRNA) molecules are approximately 80 nucleotides in length.
Source: Rfam by way of RNAcentral